UUCUAGUGGCGGACGGGUGAGUAACGCGUGGGUAACCUGCCUUAUACAGGGGGAUAACAGUCAGAAAUGGCUGCUAAUACCGCAUAAGCGCACAGAGCUGCAUGGCUCAGUGUGAAAAACUCCGGUGGUAUAAGAUGGACCCGCGUUGGAUUAGCUAGUUGGUGGGGUAACGGCCCACCAAGGCGACGAUCCAUAGCCGGCCUGAGAGGGUGAACGGCCACAUUGGGACUGAGACACGGCCCAGACUCCUACGGGAGGCAGCAGUGGGGAAUAUUGCACAAUGGGGGAAACCCUGAUGCAGCGACGCCGCGUGAAGGAAGAAGUAUCUCGGUAUGUAAACUUCUAUCAGCAGGGAAGAUAGUGACGGUACCUGACUAAGAAGCCCCGGCUAACUACGUGCCAGCAGCCGCGGUAAUACGUAGGGGGCAAGCGUUAUCCGGAUUUACUGGGUGUAAAGGGAGCGUAGACGGUGUGGCAAGUCUGAUGUGAAAGGCAUGGGCUCAACCUGUGGACUGCAUUGGAAACUGUCAUACUUGAGUGCCGGAGGGGUAAGCGGAAUUCCUAGUGUAGCGGUGAAAUGCGUAGAUAUUAGGAGGAACA
Molecule: ribosomal RNA, 600 nt
Filed under: uncultured Lachnospiraceae bacterium
Lineage: Bacteria; Bacillati; Bacillota; Clostridia; Lachnospirales; Lachnospiraceae
Description: bacterial SSU rRNA
Rfam family: Bacterial small subunit ribosomal RNA
Source: RNAcentral